UACGUAGGGUGCGAGCGUUAAUCGGAAUUACUGGGCGUAAAGCGUGCGCAGGCGGUUACUUAAGUCAGGUGUGAAAGCCCUGGGCUUAACCUAGGAAUUGCGCUUGAGACUGGGUAGCUUUGAGUGUGGCAGAGGGAGGUGGAAUUCCACGUGUAGCAGUGAAAUGCGUAGAGAUGUGGAGGAACACCUGUGGCGAAAGCGGCGCACUGGACCACAUCUGACGCUGAGGCGCGAAAGCUAGGGGAGCAAACAGG
This 254-nucleotide ribosomal RNA is filed under the name uncultured bacterium. RNAcentral describes it as "partial 16S ribosomal RNA". It matches the Rfam family "Bacterial small subunit ribosomal RNA", at positions 524 to 776 of the family's 1533-position model. The record is from RNAcentral.